This 253-nucleotide ribosomal RNA is filed under the name uncultured bacterium. RNAcentral describes it as "partial 16S ribosomal RNA". It matches the Rfam family "Bacterial small subunit ribosomal RNA", at positions 524 to 776 of the family's 1533-position model. The record is from RNAcentral.
UACAGAGGUCUCAACCGUUGUUCGGAUUCAUUGGGCGUAAAGGGUGCGUAGGCGGCGGGGCAAGUCAGGUGUGAAAUCUCGGGGCUCAACCCCGAAACUGCACUUGAUACUGCCUUGCUCGAGUACUGGAGAGGAGACUGGAAUUUACGGUGUAGCAGUGAAAUGCGUAGAUAUCGUAAGGAAGACCAGUGGCGAAGGCGAGUCUCUGGACAGUUACUGACGCUGAGGCACGAAGGCCAGGGGAGCAAACAGG